Molecule: long non-coding RNA, 269 nt
Filed under: Brassica rapa (field mustard)
Lineage: Eukaryota; Viridiplantae; Streptophyta; Magnoliopsida; Brassicales; Brassicaceae
Description: long non-coding RNA (BRAP_LNC001648)
Source: RNAcentral
UCAAAACAAGUUGUAACUCGCGCUUGUAUAAUAUAUGCUUUCGGGUUUGGACUGUGGAUAAGAGUCUUUGCUUUUGUCGUUUUGUUGUGACGUGUAAAUUAUGUUUCUUGAAUGUGAAGAUAUAUGAAUAGUAUAAAAUAAAAUGAUUUUGUUUCUGUUGACAAAAAAAAUGAUUUUGUUUCUACUGCUUUUUAUAAAAGUUAAUGCACUUAUUAAAGAUAAUGAACUAUAAUGAUUGAAGCUUAUAAUACAAAUUUUAUACAUUUAAA